UGCCAGCAGUGACCUGGAAUCCUACCUCCUUA
This 32-nucleotide non-coding RNA is filed under the name Homo sapiens (human). Lineage: Eukaryota; Metazoa; Chordata; Mammalia; Primates; Hominidae. The record is from RNAcentral.